UAUUUUGAUCAUAUCUUUGAAUAUGAUCUAUAGGAUUGUAUUAAAAUUGAAUAAAGCUUUGUUUAUAUAUUGAUAAUGACAGUAUAUAUAUCGUGUCUUGACUAAUUGCGUGCCAGCAGUCGCGGUAAUACGUAAGAGACUAGUGUUAUUCAUCUUAAUUAGGUUUAAAGGGUACCUAGACGGUCAAUAUAGCUUCUAAAAUGUUAGUACUUGACUAGAGUUUUAUGUAAGAGGGCAGUACUUGAGGAGGAGAGAUGAAAUUCUAUGAUACCAAAGGGACUCGGUAAAGGCGAAGGCAGCCUUCUAUGUAAAAMCUGACGUUAAAGGACGAAGGCACAGAGCACAAACAGGAUUAGAUACCCAAGUAGUCUUUGCAGUAAAUGAUGAAUGCCAUAGGUUAGAUUAAGAUUUAGUAUUAUAAUUAUAAAUYAAAUAUUAAACAUUAUCUGGUCUAUAAAUGAAAGUGUAAGCAUUUCACCUCAAGAGUAAUGUGGCAACGCAGGAACUGAAAUCACUAGACCGUUUCUGACACCAGUAGUGAAGUAUGUUAUUUAAUUCGAUAAU
Molecule: ribosomal RNA, 564 nt
Filed under: Trichoderma longibrachiatum
Lineage: Eukaryota; Fungi; Ascomycota; Sordariomycetes; Hypocreales; Hypocreaceae
Description: SSU rRNA
Rfam family: Bacterial small subunit ribosomal RNA
Source: RNAcentral